RNAcentral lists this ribosomal RNA (393 nucleotides) under uncultured bacterium. RNAcentral's name for it is "bacterial SSU rRNA". It matches the Rfam family "Bacterial small subunit ribosomal RNA", at positions 28 to 424 of the family's 1533-position model. The record is from RNAcentral.
GACGAACGCUGGCGGCGUGCUUAACACAUGCAAGUCGAGCGGUAAGGCCCUUUCGGGGGUACACGAGCGGCGAACGGGUGAGUAACACGUGGGUGACCUGCCCUCAGCUCUGGGAUAAGCCUGGGAAACCGGGUCUAAUACCGGAUAUGACUCCAUGACGCAUGUUGUGGGGUGGAAAGCCUUGUGCGGCUGAGGAUGGGCCCGCGGCCUAUCAGCUUGUUGGUGGGGUGAUGGCCUACCAAGGCGACGACGGGUAGCCGGCCUGAGAGGGCGACCGGCCACACUGGGACUGAGACACGGCCCAGACUCCUACGGGAGGCAGCAGUGGGGAAUCUUGCGCAAUGGGCGAAAGCCUGACGCAGCGACGCCGCGUGAGGGAUGACGGCCUCGGUU